UGGGGAAUAUUGCACAAUGGGGGAAACCCUGAUGCAGCGACGCCGCGUGAACGAAGAAGGUAUUCGUAUCGUAAAGUUCUGUCCUACGGGAAGAUAAUGACAGUACCAUAGAAGAAAGCUCCGGCUAAAUACGUGCCAGCAGCCGCGGUAAUACGUAUGGAGCGAGCGUUGUCCGGAAGUAUUUGGCGUAAAGGGUACGCAGGCGGUUUAAUAAGUCGAAUGUUAAAGAUCGGGGCUCAACCCCGUAAAGCAUUGGAAACUGAUAAACUUGAGUAUUGGAGAGGAAAGUGGAAUUCCUAGUGUAGUGGUGAAAUACGUAGAUAUUAGGAGGAAUACCAGUAGCGAAGGCGACUUUCUGGACACAAACUGACGCUGAGGUACGAAAGCGUGGGUAGCAAACAGG
Molecule: ribosomal RNA, 403 nt
Filed under: bacterium
Lineage: Bacteria
Description: partial 16S ribosomal RNA
Rfam family: Bacterial small subunit ribosomal RNA
Source: RNAcentral